GGGGAUGGAUGCGGCCCGGUGGCCGUCCCGGUCUUCAAAAUCGGUGAGCGGUGGCGUGAGCCAGCGCUGGUGGGUUCGACUCCCAUGCAUCCCCGUCCA
RNAcentral lists this transfer RNA (99 nucleotides) under Chloroflexota bacterium. Its description in RNAcentral is "Chloroflexi bacterium (activated sludge metagenome) tRNA-Sec". It matches the Rfam family "Selenocysteine transfer RNA". Lineage: Bacteria; Bacillati; Chloroflexota. The record is from RNAcentral.